Molecule: transfer RNA, 73 nt
Filed under: Paleosuchus trigonatus (Schneider's dwarf caiman)
Lineage: Eukaryota; Metazoa; Chordata; Crocodylia; Alligatoridae
Description: tRNA-Asp
Source: RNAcentral
GAAAAGUUAGUAUAUUUUGUAUUACCUGUUCUUGUCAAGAACAAAAAAUAGGACCUAAACCCUAUACUCUUCU